RNAcentral lists this small RNA (111 nucleotides) under unclassified sequences. RNAcentral's name for it is "Mahella-1 RNA". It matches the Rfam family "Mahella-1 RNA". The record is from Rfam by way of RNAcentral.
GCCGGGCUGCUGUAAAAGCGCAAGCCAAUGCGCUUUCCCUAGAGGGUUGGCAGCAAGCGGUAUCAUGCUGAAAGGCAGGGGUACCGCGGAAACAGCCGGGGAACCGGCAAA